AGGAGUGCGGGACAAAUGGAGCGGGGUGGGGGUGGGGAAGGGGAGGAGCGGUGGCGGGGGGAGACGUUUAAUAGGCAGCGUGAGACUCCAGCCCGCACCGAAGAGCGGGGCGACGGCUGUCACCCGCCAAGACUCGGCCGGCACAACCCGACUGCCGCGCACCGGCCGGGGUCGGCAGGCCGGCCGGUAGACCUGAGGUUUUACAAAAGAGACGAACUGUUCUACUUCUUCUAGGUUUAUUCCAGUUUUUUCUAUAAAUCAAAACAUCUCAAAAUGGAGGCCUAAAACUCUUAAAAGGGACUUAGUCUAAUCUCCGGGAGGUGGUUUUGUGCAUGAAUAAACAAAGUAGUUAACAGGAGUUUUUGGUAUCCAAAGAAUAUUAAUUUUUAAAAUAUGAUCUGGUUAUAAGAGGUAUAACUAUAAAGUAAUAAUAAGUUUGAUUCUGAAUUUGAUUUGUGGACAUAAAGAAAUUAUUGUAGCUGGGACAUAUUGUUGAACUACUUUUUUCAAAGUUGGCCAGGCAGUCUCCCACUGGCUGCUGUGUAGAAUAGAAAAAAGUACCUGUGUUUGGUAAAGAUUUAAAAAUGAGUGACAGUUAUCUAGAACAAAGAGUUAAUAUUCAACCCUCUGCUAAAUUAGAGAAACAUGCAUAUAAAACCUUUGGCAUGUUAAAUGAUUUCUGCAAUGACAAAGAAAUGUCAAGAACAAAACUUUUUGAUAGGUACAACAAAUUUAGAGCAAGUAUGAAAGAUAAACGUGAUGAUUGGUAAAGAAAUUAACCAUUUAUAAGACUUGAUAUUUUGAAAGUCAAAACUUUAGUUUGUUCAAAUGGGCUGUUAUUUCUGAGAAUAAUUAGAAUGAGAAUGGUGACUGGAUGGUUACAUUUUGGUAAAUGAACAAACUUAUUCCAAAAGAAAAUUCACAUAGAGACAGUAGUAACACCAAGAAUGAAAGGAAUACUGAAGUUAGACAUAAUAAUUCACCUCUGAGGGCAAUUAUCACUGGUAUUUAGAUAUGUUUCUUCUCCCACCUGGAAAUAAAGCAUUGAAGUCUGCAGUAAAAAGCCCCAACAUAUGUGGGACCCAGGAAGCAUGCUUGCAAAACACUUCUAGAAAAAAAACCAUGUUGACUUGUUUAUUGGUUAUUACUGACAUUAUUGACACAGAACCUACUUACUAAUAGCUACUUAUAAUUGAGAAAUUCUGAAUUUUGAGAUCUCUGCUGUUCAAAAGAAGUGGAUUGUGACAAAAUAAAUUUAUUAUUUUUUGUCAUGAUAAAUUCUGGUUCAAGGUAUGCUAUCUGUGAAAUAAUUUCUGACCAAAGCCAGAUUUUUUUAUCCAUCUUUUUUUUUUGAUUAUUUAUCUUAGCUUGCAGACUCAGCACUCUGACUUUUGACUGUUUUUAAAAGUAAAUCCAUUAUCAGGAGAUUUGAUGUUGGUUCUCAACAGCAUGAAGCUGAGUCUAAAAGACCAAGUGAGCAAAUAUAUUCAUCCCUGAUAAUUUAUUUGAAAUGCAAUGUUUAAUUUGCUAAGAUCUAGUGGUAUUGCUAUGACUAAGCAAUCAGGUACCUAUCUAUGGGAAGUAAUUAUUAUUUAAAAAAUCUUGAAACCAGGUCUUGAGAUGUAUGAACCAAUUCUGUUACUACUUAAGCUCUUUAUUUGGAAGAAAAUUUUGAAUUGUUUUGUUCUCCCUAAUAAAAUGGUUGUAGGAAGAAAAAUUAAUUUGAGCAAGAUUUUGGAUAGACUGUAUUUCAUUGAAUCUAAGAUGUCAUCAUUUGUAAAGCACACCAUUAUUUUAUGUACCUCUAAGAAAUAAAAAUGCUGUUAAUUAAAAUAUGACAUGCCAUUCAUUAAUUGUAAGAUACCGUCCAUAGCAGAGAUAUUAAAACAUGCAUCUUAGAAUCAGUGAAAUAUGAUAGCCCAUUCUUUUCCUCUUUCGAGGUAGGUCUUAUGCUUUUUUUUUCUGGCUACUAAAUUUCACAAUUUAAAAAAAGCAAACUAAACAUAGUUUGAAUAUUUUUGUGUGUAUAGAACACUUACACAGCAUAGCUUUCCGCCAAAACAAACUAGCUAUGUGAGACAUUUUUUCUUCAGGCUGACUAGAUGUCACUGAAGCAUACUAGUGGAGAGGGUGACCUACCUGUGGAGAUAUCUGACACUAAAUGGCAUCUUGAUGACAUAAAGCACUCUACACUUUUAUGAAGGGUUUUAAUUUUCAUCACAAGGUACUGUGUAGCAUCAUGUUUACAUUGUAUGCAAGAGUAUACAAAGGUGCAGGUACAUAAUUGGCCCUUAAAAUGUAUCAGUAUAGGAUUUAGAAUCUUGCCAUGCUAUAACCCUAAAUGCAUAGAAGAAAAAAGAAUGAAAUAUUUCCUGUUCUAAGUGUUCAAUCUAGUACUAAAAUUAAUAAAAAUCAAAACCCAUGCACAAAACUACCUCCCCAGAGAAAGGCUAGUCCCUUU
Molecule: long non-coding RNA, 2461 nt
Organism: Physeter macrocephalus (sperm whale)
Lineage: Eukaryota; Metazoa; Chordata; Mammalia; Artiodactyla; Physeteridae
Source: Ensembl